CCUACGGGAGGCAGCAGUGAGGAAUAUUGGUCAAUGGGCGCUAGCCUGAACCAGCCUAGUAGCGUGAAGGAUGACUGCCCUAUGGGUUGUAAACUUCUUUUAUAUGGGAAUAAAGUGCAGUAUGUAUACUGCUUUGCAUGUACCUUAUGAAUAAGGAUCGGCUAACUCCGUGCCAGCAGCCGCGGUAAUACGGAGGAUCCGAGCGUUAUCCGGAUUUAUUGGGUUUAAAGGGAGCGUAGGCGGGUUGUUAAGUCAGUUGUGAAAGUUUGCGGCUCAACCGUAAAAUUGCAGUUGAUACUGGCAGCCUUGAGUACAGUAGAGGUAGGCGGAAUUCGUGGUGUAGCGGUGAAAUGCUUAGAUAUCACGAAGAACUCCGAUUGCGAAGGCAGCCUGCUGGACUGUAACUGAUGCUGAUGCUCGAAAGUGUGGGUAUCAAACAGGAUUAGAUACCCCAGUAGUC
This 460-nucleotide ribosomal RNA is filed under the name uncultured bacterium. RNAcentral's name for it is "partial 16S ribosomal RNA". It matches the Rfam family "Bacterial small subunit ribosomal RNA", at positions 338 to 795 of the family's 1533-position model. The record is from RNAcentral.